RNAcentral lists this ribosomal RNA (274 nucleotides) under uncultured bacterium. RNAcentral describes it as "partial 16S ribosomal RNA". It matches the Rfam family "Bacterial small subunit ribosomal RNA", at positions 523 to 796 of the family's 1533-position model. The record is from RNAcentral.
AUACGGAGGGUGCAAGCGUUAUUCGGAAUCACUGGGCGUAAAGGACGCGUAGGCGGGUUGGCAAGUCAGAUGUGAAAUCCUACAGCUUAACUGUAGAACUGCAUUUGAAACUGCUAACCUAGAGUAUGGGAGGGGGAGAUGGAAUUAGUGGUGUAGGGGUAGAAUCCGUAGAUAUCACUAGGAAUACCGAAAGCGAAGGCGAUCUCCUGGAACAUAACUGACGCUAAGGCGUGAAAGCGUGGGGAGCAAACAGGAUUAGAAACCCCAGUAGUCC